UACGAAGGGGGCUAGCGUUGUUCGGAAUUACUGGGCGUAAAGCGCGCGUAGGCGGAUUUUUAAGUCAGGGGUGAAAUCCCAGGGCUCAACCCUGGAACUGCCUUUGAUACUGAGGGUCUGGAGUUCGGGAGAGGUGAGUGGAAUUCCGAGUGUAGAGGUGAAAUUCGUAGAUAUGUAUUAGAACACCGAUUGCGAAGGCAGUUCACUAGGCGUGUAUUGACACUGAGGCUCGAAAGCGUGGGGAUCAAACAGG
This 253-nucleotide ribosomal RNA is filed under the name uncultured bacterium. RNAcentral describes it as "partial 16S ribosomal RNA". It matches the Rfam family "Bacterial small subunit ribosomal RNA", at positions 524 to 776 of the family's 1533-position model. The record is from RNAcentral.